This 449-nucleotide ribosomal RNA is filed under the name uncultured bacterium. Its description in RNAcentral is "partial 16S ribosomal RNA". It matches the Rfam family "Bacterial small subunit ribosomal RNA", at positions 328 to 793 of the family's 1533-position model. The record is from RNAcentral.
UGUCCAGACUCCUACGGGAGGCAGCAGUGGGGGAUAUUGCACAAUGGGGGAAACCCUGAUGCAGCGACGCCGCGUGGGCGAAGAAGUAUUUCGGUAUGUAAAUCCCUAUCAGCAGGGAAGAAGAAAUGACGGUACCUGAAUAAGAAGCACCGGCUAAAUACGUGCCAGCAGCCGCGGUAACACGUAGGGGGCGAGCGUUAUCCGGAAUCAUUGGGCGUAAAGGGUGCGUAGGCGGCCUUUUAAGCGCGGGGUCUAAGGCGGUGGCCCAACCACCGUUCGCCCCGCGAACUGGAGGGCUAGAGUGUCGGAGAGGGAAGCGGAAUUCCUAGUGUAGCGGUGAAAUGCGUAGAUAUUAGGAGGAACACCAGUGGCGAAGGCGGCUUCCUGGACGAAGACUGACGCUGAGGCACGAAAGCGUGGGGAGCGAACAGGAUUAGAUACCCUAGUAA